RNAcentral lists this ribosomal RNA (951 nucleotides) under Triticum aestivum (bread wheat). RNAcentral's name for it is "partial small subunit ribosomal RNA". The record is from RNAcentral. Lineage: Eukaryota; Viridiplantae; Streptophyta; Magnoliopsida; Poales; Poaceae.
CAAAGCAUUAAAACCGGCUUUGCUCGAGGAGGUCAAGAAGGGGUAGAGGGUAAGGGGAGGGAGUGCGAAAGGUGUGCCCCGCUGUCUUAGAUCGUUAGGGAUCGGCGGCCUUAAGCUGCCAGCAUCGGCCGCUCUCAGGUGGCGGCUGUCCUUCUCGGAGAGGCCAACCUUGCUGGUGGGUGUAGCCCCCACUCCCCUUGGCGCGACCGCAGCUGGCUGCCCUCUCUGCGCCGCGCCGCCCGCGCCGCCCCUCUUCUCUCCUUCCCCCGCGCGCACCCGCCGACCGGCUGCCCUUGGUUGCACAGAGACGGUGUAGAUGCUUGACGUCUUGUUGUCAAAGUAGUCCUCACUGUAUCUGUUUGUAAAACUCUUGUUCUGUGUCCGAUUCGGCUACGCUUAGUUAAAGCAAGGGCUGUGAGUCCAAGAACUGUUCCUCUUAGGUUUCCUCAGCCCGGUGAUUUCUAUUCCAUAAGGACCGUUGACGUUUAUUUUAAUACCUCCCCUAAUUUAGUUUACGGGUUUCGUCCUGUUGUCCUCUUUGUUUCCACGUUCUGUUAUCUCUUCUAUGUUAAGUUCUAAGUCGUUGAAAAUAGAUGGUAGGUCAAGAUGUUCCGUGCCCCCACGUUCUUGUCCCCUGUUCUAGGUUCAGUACAAGACGUUUGUGAAACAAUGUCCCCCGUUAAAAACGUUGAUCUUCUAAUCCCCCCUCCCCCUGUCUCACCCUUUAGGUGAUCAAGAUCUUGAUUUUCUUCAAGUACCGGUUUUAUCAACCUUGUUGUGAAAAUGGAAACGACAAAAAGUAACCCUCUUUGAACGGGUCGAGACGGUUAUAAAAACGGGUGUUAAGUGGUCUUUAAAACGGACUAGUCGUACUUCUCAACGUCUAUGUUAAUGCAAAAGUCUUAAAGGAGUACUAGAAAACGGAACAAAAGCAGAGAUAAAAUGAGACAA